UACGUAGGUGGCGAGCGUUAUCCGGAAUUAUUGGGCGUAAAGAGCGCGCAGGCGGUUGAUUAAGUCUGAUGUGAAAGCCCACGGCUUAACCGUGGAGGGUCAUUGGAAACUGGUCAACUUGAGUGCAGAAGAGGGAAGUGGAAUUCCAUGUGUAGCGGUGAAAUGCGUAGAGAUGUGGAGGAACACCGAUGGCGAAGGCAGCCUCCUGGGCCAGCACUGACGCUCAUGCACGAAAGCGUGGGGAGCAAACAGG
This 253-nucleotide ribosomal RNA is filed under the name uncultured bacterium. RNAcentral's name for it is "partial 16S ribosomal RNA". It matches the Rfam family "Bacterial small subunit ribosomal RNA", at positions 524 to 776 of the family's 1533-position model. The record is from RNAcentral.